AGGCGUGUAGUUCAAUGGUAGAACAAUAGUCUCCAAAACUAUGUGUUGUGGGUUCGAUUCCUAUCACGCCUGCCA
This 75-nucleotide transfer RNA is filed under the name [Mycoplasma] cavipharyngis. RNAcentral describes it as "tRNA-Trp". It matches the Rfam family "tRNA". From Rfam's summary of the family: Transfer RNA (tRNA) molecules are approximately 80 nucleotides in length. The record is from RNAcentral. RNAcentral also lists the same sequence under 1 other name. Lineage: Bacteria; Bacillati; Mycoplasmatota; Mycoplasmoidales; Mycoplasmoidaceae.